CGGGUUAUAUGUCUUUAUUGUCACAGAUUUUAUUUUCUGUUGGGCCAUUGCAUUGCCACUGAUUUUCCAACAUAUAAAAAGACAAGCCCGAACAGUCGUCCGGGCUUUUUUUUUAGAAUUGGA
This 123-nucleotide small RNA is filed under the name Escherichia coli MS 124-1. Its description in RNAcentral is "MicC RNA". It matches the Rfam family "MicC RNA". Rfam says of the family: MicC (previously known as IS063) is located between the ompN and ydbK genes in E. coli. This family of Hfq-associated sRNA is thought to be a regulator of OmpC expression. RNAcentral also lists the same sequence under 1 other name. Lineage: Bacteria; Pseudomonadati; Pseudomonadota; Gammaproteobacteria; Enterobacterales; Enterobacteriaceae. The record is from RNAcentral.